This 69-nucleotide transfer RNA is filed under the name Anguilla anguilla (European eel). It matches the Rfam family "tRNA". Rfam says of the family: Transfer RNA (tRNA) molecules are approximately 80 nucleotides in length. The record is from Rfam by way of RNAcentral. Lineage: Eukaryota; Metazoa; Chordata; Actinopteri; Anguilliformes; Anguillidae.
GCAUUGGUGGUUCAGUGGUAGAAUUCUCGCCUGCCACGCGGAGGGCCGGUUCGAUUCCCUGCCAAUGCA